Neopsephotus bourkii (Bourke's parrot) is the source of this 213-nucleotide long non-coding RNA. RefSeq lists it as uncharacterized. NCBI's taxonomy places the organism in Eukaryota, Metazoa, Chordata, Aves, Psittaciformes, Psittacidae. The transcript has 3 exons. The record is from RefSeq and is a predicted model, not a curated record.
UGCAGUGAUGCUCAUCGGGGUCCUGGUGGGUGCCUGUGUGGCCAAGCCCGGUGGCGGGCGGGAGGGCUCAGCCCUGCCCGAGGACAGCGCCGUGCACACCAUCUACUCCCAGGUGCAGCGGAGGCAGAGGCAGAAAGGAGCCUCCAUCACCGAGCACCCCUCCUGCAUCACCGACUACCCCGCAGGCACCAGCCAGCCCUUGGACACGGCCCC